Molecule: non-coding RNA, 256 nt
Filed under: Mesobacillus subterraneus
Lineage: Bacteria; Bacillati; Bacillota; Bacilli; Caryophanales; Bacillaceae
Description: Bacillus subterraneus T-box sequence
Rfam family: T-box leader
About the family: Uncharged tRNA acts as the effector for transcription antitermination of genes in the T-box leader family. T-boxes are found upstream of many aminoacyl-tRNA synthetase genes and some amino acid biosynthetic genes usually in Gram-positive bacteria.
Source: RNAcentral
GGUAACUCGUUGAACAAGAAGAGUAAGCAGGAUAUUUUCGUUUCAGAGAGCCGGAAAUGGUGUGAACCGGUACGUAAUACCUGUUGAAUGGCCUUGUGAGAGGCAGCCUGAACCAAUAAGUAGGGCUGCCCGGACUCCUCCGUUAAAAGGAUAGGGUAUAUCGAGAUCUUUUUAGAUUUCCUGUACUUGAAGAGAGGGAACUUUUUUAAGUUCCAACUUGAGGUGGCACCGCGGUCCAAUCGUAAUCGUCCUCUAU